This 516-nucleotide ribosomal RNA is filed under the name Triticum aestivum (bread wheat). RNAcentral's name for it is "partial small subunit ribosomal RNA". Lineage: Eukaryota; Viridiplantae; Streptophyta; Magnoliopsida; Poales; Poaceae. The record is from RNAcentral.
AUGGCGCAGAGGGAGAAAUCGUCCGUCGCGGUCGCCUCCCUGUCGUCCUCGGCGCCAACCGCCGUGCCCUCGGGCGAGCGGUGGGGCGCCGCGAUCGGCAACCUGGGAGAGCUGGGCGCCAACGUCGAGUCGCUGCAGAAGCUGCUCGCCCGGAAGGCCGUCUUCGUCGACGACGACGUCUUCUCCAAGGCCUCCCUCGCCUCCGAACAGGCCCGCUCCAUCAAGAUUCUUGACCAGAGGGUGCAGUCUCUGGAACGUGAACUGGACGCUGCCAUUUCUGCAGCUGCUCGAGCCCGUACAGAAAAACGCCAGGCUGAAGCUGCUCAACGAGCUGCAGAGCUGCAUGCACAGGAAGUCACGAAGGAGCUGGAGAACACCGCAAGAGUUUUCCAGCUGCACAUGGAAGAGCUGCGGGCAAAACAAGAGGAGAUCGCCAAGAGAGAUAGUGAUAUCAAGGUGUUGGAAGCAAUAAUACGAACCCUGAGUAGCAAAGAUGAUGGCGGAUCCAGCGAGUAA